This 497-nucleotide ribosomal RNA is filed under the name uncultured bacterium. RNAcentral describes it as "partial 16S ribosomal RNA". It matches the Rfam family "Bacterial small subunit ribosomal RNA", at positions 28 to 507 of the family's 1533-position model. The record is from RNAcentral.
GAUGAACGCUGGCGGCGUGCCUAAUACAUGCAAGUCGAGCGAACAGACGAGGAGCUUGCUCCUCUGACGUUAGCGGCGGACGGGUGAGUAACACGUGGAUAACCUACCUAUAAGACUGGGAUAACUUCGGGAAACCGGAGCUAAUACCGGAUAAUAUAUUGAACCGCAUGGUUCAAUAGUGAAAGACGGUUUUGCUGUCACUUAUAGAUGGAUCCGCGCCGCAUUAGCUAGUUGGUAAGGUAACGGCUUACCAAGGCGACGAUGCGUAGCCGACCUGAGAGGGGGAUCGGCCACCCUGGAACUGAGACACGGUCCAGACUCCUACGGGAGGCAGCAGUAGGGAAUCUUCCGCAAUGGGCGAAAGCUUGACGGAGCAACGCCGCGUGAGUGAUGAAGGUCUUCGGAUCGUAAAACUCUGUUAUUAGGGAAGAACAAAUGUGUAAGUAACUAUGCACGUCUUGACGGUACCUAAUCAGAAAGCCACGGCUAACUACGUG